RNAcentral lists this transfer RNA (72 nucleotides) under Candidatus Melainabacteria bacterium. RNAcentral's name for it is "tRNA-Tyr". It matches the Rfam family "tRNA". Rfam says of the family: Transfer RNA (tRNA) molecules are approximately 80 nucleotides in length. Their secondary structure includes four short double-helical elements and three loops (D, anti-codon, and T loops). Further hydrogen bonds mediate the characteristic L-shaped molecular structure. tRNAs have two regions of fundamental functional importance: the anti-codon, which is responsible for specific mRNA codon recognition, and the 3' end, to which the tRNAs corresponding amino acid is attached (by aminoacyl-tRNA synthetases). tRNAs cope with the degeneracy of the genetic code in two manners: having more than one tRNA (with a specific anti-codon) for a particular amino acid; and 'wobble' base-pairing, i.e. permitting non-standard base-pairing at the 3rd anti-codon position. The record is from RNAcentral. Lineage: Bacteria; Bacillati; Candidatus Melainabacteria.
GGGGCUGUAGCUCAAAGAUCUGAGCACUGCCGAUAACGGCUGCGGUUGCGGGUUCAAAUCCUGUCAGCCCCC